GAUGAACGCUCGCUACAGGCUUAACACAUGCAAGUCGAGGGGCAGCAUGGUCUUAGCUUGCUAAGGCCGAUGGCGACCGGCGCACGGGUGAGUAACACGUAUCCAACCUGCCGUCUACUCUUGGACAGCCUGCUGAAAGGAAGAUUAAUACAAGAUGGCAUCAUGAGUCCGCAUGUUCACAUGAUUAAAGGUAUUCCGGUAGACGAUGGGGAUGCGUUCCAUUAGAUAGUAGGCGGGGUAACGGCCCACCUAGUCUUCGAUGGAUAGGGGUUCUGAGAGGAAGGUCCCCCACAAUGGAACUGAGGCCCGGUCCAAAAUCCUACGGGAGGCAGCAGUGAGGAAGAUUGGUCAAUGGGCGAGAGCCUGAACCAGCCAAGUAGCGUGAAGGAUGACUGCCCUAUGGGUUGUAAACUUCUUGUAAAAAGGAAUAAAGUCGGGUAUGGAUACCCGUUUGCAUGUACUUUAUGAAUAAGGAUCGGCUAACUCCGUG
RNAcentral lists this ribosomal RNA (490 nucleotides) under uncultured bacterium. RNAcentral describes it as "partial 16S ribosomal RNA". It matches the Rfam family "Bacterial small subunit ribosomal RNA", at positions 28 to 507 of the family's 1533-position model. The record is from RNAcentral.